Molecule: ribosomal RNA, 742 nt
Filed under: uncultured bacterium
Lineage: Bacteria
Description: bacterial SSU rRNA
Rfam family: Bacterial small subunit ribosomal RNA
Source: RNAcentral
AGAGUUUGAUCCUGGCUCAGAGCGAACGCUGGCGGCAGGCCUAACACAUGCAAGUCGAACGAACUCUUCGGAGUUAGUGGCGGACGGGUGAGUAACACGUGGGAACGUGCCUUUAGGUUCGGAAUAACUCAGGGAAACUUGAGCUAAUACCGAAUGUGCCCUUCGGGGGAAAGAUUUAUCGCCUUUAGAGCGGCCCGCGUCUGAUUAGCUAGUUGGUGGGGUAAUGGCCCACCAAGGCUACGAUCAGUAGCUGGUCUGAGAGGAUGACCAGCCACAUUGGGACUGAGACACGGCCCAAACUCCUACGGGAGGCAGCAGUGGGGAAUCUUGCGCAAUGGGCGAAAGCCUGACGCAGCCAUGCCGCGUGUAUGAUGAAGGUCUUAGGAUUGUAAAAUACUUUCACCGGUGAAGAUAAUGACUGUAGCCGGAGAAGAAGCCCCGGCUAACUUCGUGCCAGCAGCCGCGGUAAUACGAAGGGGGCUAGCGUUGCUCGGAAUUACUGGGCGUAAAGGGAGCGUAGGCGGACAUUUAAGUCAGAGGUGAAAUCCCGGAGCUUAACUUCGGAACUGCCUUUGAUACUGGGUGUCUUGAGUGUGAGAGAGGUAUGUGGAACUCCGAGUGUAGAGGUGAAAUUCGUAGAUAUUCGGAAGAACACCAGUGGCGAAGGCGACAUACUGGCUCAUUACUGACGCUGAGGCUCGAAAGCGUGGGGAGCAAACAGGAUUAGAUACCCUGGUAGUCG